Molecule: ribosomal RNA, 497 nt
Filed under: uncultured bacterium
Lineage: Bacteria
Description: partial 16S ribosomal RNA
Rfam family: Bacterial small subunit ribosomal RNA
Source: RNAcentral
GAUGAACGCUGGCGGCGUGCCUAAUACAUGCAAGUCGAACGAACAGACGAGGAGCUUGCUCCUCUGACGUUAGCGGCGGACGGGUGAGUAACACGUGGAUAACCUACCUAUAAGACUGGGAUAACUUCGGGAAACCGGAGCUAAUACCGGAUAAUAUAUUGAACCGCAUGGUUCAAUAGUGAAAGACGGUUUUGCUGUCACUUAUAGAUGGAUCCGCGCCGCAUUAGCUAGUUGGUAAGGUAACGGCUUACCAAGGCGACGAUGCGUAGCCGACCUGAGAGGGUGAUCGGCCACACUAGAACUGAGACACGGUCCAGACUCCUACGGGAGGCAGCAGUAGGGAAUCUUCCGCAAUGGGAGAAAGCCUGACGGAGCAACGCCGCGUGAGUGAUGAAGGUCUUCGGAUCGUAAAACUCUGUUAUUAGGGAAGAACAAAUGUGUAAGUAACUAUGCACGUCUUGACGGUACCUAAUCAGAAAGCCACGGCUAACUACGUG